This 468-nucleotide ribosomal RNA is filed under the name uncultured bacterium. RNAcentral describes it as "partial 16S ribosomal RNA". It matches the Rfam family "Bacterial small subunit ribosomal RNA", at positions 28 to 507 of the family's 1533-position model. The record is from RNAcentral.
GAUGAACGCUGGCGGCGUGCUUAACACAUGCAAGUCGAACGGUGAAGGCGGAGCUUGCUCUGCUGGAUCAGUGGCGAACGGGUGAGUAACACGUGAGCAAUCUGCCCCUGACUCUGGGAUAAGCGCUGGAAACGGCGGCUAAUACUGGAUACGAGCUGCGAAGGCAUCUUCAGCAGCUGGAAAGAAUUUCGGUCAGGGAUGAGCUCGCGGCUUAUCAGCUUGUUGGUGAGGUAAUGGCUCACCAAGGCGUCGACGGGUAGCCGGCCUGAGAGGGUGACCGGCCACACUGGGACUGAGACACGGCCCAGACUCCUACGGGAGGAAGCAGUGGGGAAUAUUGCACAAUGGGCGGAAGCCUGAUGCAGCAACGCCGCGUGAGGGACGACGGCCUUCGGGUUGUAAACCUCUUUUGGCAGGGAAGAAGCGAAAGUGACGGUACCUGAAAAAAAAGCGCCGGCUAACUACGUG